Molecule: long non-coding RNA, 1089 nt
Organism: Haliotis rubra (blacklip abalone)
Lineage: Eukaryota; Metazoa; Mollusca; Gastropoda; Lepetellida; Haliotidae
Exons: 2
Source: RefSeq, a predicted model, not a curated record
GUGGUAUGCUGUAGGGAUGUGGUAUGCUGUAUGCUGGUAUGCUGUAGGGAUGUGGUAAGCUGUAGGGAUGUGGUAUGCUGUAGGGAUGUGGUAAGCUGUAGGGAUGUGGUAUGCUGUAGGGAUGUGGUAUGCUGUAGGGAUGUGGUAUGCUGUAGGGAUGUGGUAUGCUGUAGGGAUGUGGUAUGCUGUAGGGAUGUGGUAUGCUGUAGGGAUGUGGUAAGCUGUAGGGAUGUGGUAUGCUGUAGGGAUGUGGUAAGCUGUAGGGAUGUGGUAUGCUGUAGGGAUGUGGUAUGUAGGGAUGGUAUGCUGUAGGGAUGUGGUAUGCUGUAGGGAUGUGGUAUGCUGUAGGGAUGUGGUAUGCUGUAGGGAUGUGGUAUGCUGUAGGGAUGUUGUAGGGAUGUGGUAUGCUGUAGGGAUGCUGUAGGGAUGUGGUAUGCUGUUCAAGACUCAGUCACAGUUUGUUUGUCUAUUGUUUAACACUGCACCUAGCAAUAUUCCACCUAUAUUUUGUUGACCAGAAAUCACAUCUGACCAGAUCAGCCAAGGAAGGUAGGAUAAGGGCUCUAUUUUGUCCCUCUGCAAUUUUGUUCAAUCUUAGUUAAUUCCUUCAAAUAUUUGAAUGACAACUAUUGGACACAAGUAUAGAUUAAAUGAGUGAAAAAGAUGAUUCUUGUAAACUCCAACUCAAAAUAGGAAUGUCACAAUCAAACAGGCGUUUUCACCAGGAAAAGAAAAUCAAAUAAGAUCUACCUCUAAGAUCCGUUUUCACCAGUAACCUCUAAGAUCCGUUUUGUAGACACAUUUUAGUCUUGCCUAUACACGUAUGUUAUUAUCUCAAAACAUUCACAUGUUGAAAUGAGCAAAAUUGAGGAACAAGAUUCACAUUCAUAUGAACACAUCUGAUAGCUUCCACAACAAUUUCUUAAUCUUUUUUUCUCAUUUCUUUAUUUAUACAGAUCCUGUGUGUGUGCCUGUGCGCCAGAGGGCCGUUAUCUUAUCUUCUAAUGUGUAUCUGUUCCUGAACUAUAGCACUGUCACUGACCAUUGUAUAUAUCAUCGUCAUCAACAGGCAAUAAACAAACGACAAGA